UCUGGGAAACUGCCCGAUGGAGGGGGAUAACUACUGGAAACGGUAGCUAAUACCGCAUAACGUCGCAAGACCAAAGAGGGGGACCUUCGGGCCUCUUGCCAUCGGAUGUGCCCAGAUGGGAUUAGCUAGUAGGUGGGGUAAAGGCUCACCUAGGCGACGAUCCCUAGCUGGUCUGAGAGGAUGACCAGCCACACUGGAACUGAGACACGGUCCAGACUCCUACGGGAGGCAGCAGUGGGGAAUAUUGCACAAUGGGCGCAAGCCUGAUGCAGCCAUGCCGCGUGUAUGAAGAAGGCCUUCGGGUUGUAAAGUACUUUCAGCGGGGAGGAAGGGAGUAAAGUUAAUACCUUUGCUCAUUGACGUUACCCGCAGAAGAAGCACCGGCUAACUCCGUGCCAGCAGCCGCGGUAAUACGGAGGGUGCAAGCGUUAAUCGGAAUUACUGGGCGUAAAGCGCACGCAGGCGGUUUGUUAAGUCAGAUGUGAAAUCCCCGGGCUCAACCUGGGAACUGCAUCUGAUA
Molecule: ribosomal RNA, 520 nt
Filed under: Escherichia coli
Lineage: Bacteria; Pseudomonadati; Pseudomonadota; Gammaproteobacteria; Enterobacterales; Enterobacteriaceae
Description: bacterial SSU rRNA
Rfam family: Bacterial small subunit ribosomal RNA
Source: RNAcentral